GAAAGUAAGCAAGGGCAGACGGUGGAUGCCUUGGCUCUCGGAGGCGAUGAAGGACGUGAUAAGCUGCGAUAAGCUUGGGGUAGGUGCAAAUAACCUUUGAUCCCAAGAUUUCCGAAUGGGGCAACCCGGCUGGUAGAAGGCCAGUCAUUCCGUAAGGAAGGCGAACGUGGGGAACUGAAACAUCUAAGUACCCAUAGGAGAAGAAAACAAAAGUGAUUCCGCAAGUAGUGGCGAGCGAACGCGGAACAGCCCAAACCGAUGAUGUUUAGGCAUUGUCGGGGUAGUAGGACCACGUUGUGGCAAGAGAUUAAGGAAGUAGAACGUUUUGGAACAAACGGCCGUAGACGGUGAAAGCCCGGUAUACGACUCUUUAACGAAGCCUAGUGGAAUCCUGAGUAGCGCGGAGCACGAGAAAUUCUGUGUGAAUCAGCGGGGCCCAUCCCGUAAGGCUAAAUACUCCCGAGAGACCGAUAGCGAACCAGUACUGUGAAGGAAAGGUGAAAAGCACCUCGAACAGAGGAGUGAAAUAGUCCCUGAAACCGUCUGCCUACAAGCGGUCGGAGCAACGUAAGUUGUGACGGCGUGCCUUUUGCAUAAUGAACCUACGAGUUACUUUCUCCGGCAAGGUUAAGGGCUUCAGGCCCGGAGCCGAAGCGAAAGCGAGUCUUAAUAGGGCGUGAUAGUCGGAGUGAGUAGACGCGAAACCAAGUGAUCUACCCUUGGUCAGGAUGAAGGUUGGGUAACACCAACUGGAGGUCCGAAUGGGUAUACGUUGAAAAGUGUUCCAAUGAACUGAGGGUAGGGGUGAAAGGCUAAUCAAACUUGGAGAUAGCUCGUACUCCCCGAAAUGCAUUUAGGUGCAGCCUUUAUUUAGUAUAGCAUGAGGUAGAGCGACUGAUUGGAUGCGAGGGCUUCACCGCCUAUCAAGUCCAGAUAAACUCCGAAUGCGUGCUAUAUAUUGAUAAGGAGUGAGGGCGCGGGUGCUAAGGUCCGUGUCCGAGAGGAGAAGAAUCCAGACCAUCAGCUAAGGUCCCCAAAUAACAGUUAAGUUGAACUAACGAAGUCGGACUGCAGAGACAGCUAGGAUGUUGGCUUGGAAGCAGCCAUUCAUUUAAAGAGUGCGUAACAGCUCACUAGUCGAGGAGUCCGGCGUGGAUAAUACUCGGGCAUAAACUGUUUACCGAAGCUAUGGAUGUGUAAACACAUGGUAGGGGAGCAUUCCAACGGCGUCGAAGGUGAAGGAUGACCUUUGCUGGAGCUUUUGGAAACGCAAAUGUAGGUAUAAGUAACGAUAAAGGAGGUGAGAAACCUCCUCGCCGAAAGACUAAGGUUUCCUGAUCAACGCUAAUCGGAUCAGGGUAAGUCGGGACCUAAGGUUAAGCCGAACGGCGAUACCGAUGGAAGAAUGGUUUAAUAUUCCCAUACUACUUUAUGGAGCGAUGUGGAGACGGAGAAGUGACAGUCCUGCCAUCUGACGGAAUAGGUGGUUGAAGAGUGUAGAUGUAGAUUCCUGUAGGCAAAUCCGCAGGGAGAGUCGACCUUGACAGUAUGCCGCGUGCUUGCACAAGGCAAAAUGGACGUAAUCAGGCUCCCAAGAAAAUCCGCUAAGCAUAUUCAUAAAGUACCCGUACCGUAAACGGACACACGUAGUUGGGUUGAAAAUACUGAGGCGCUCGAGUGAUUCACGGUUAAGGAACUAGGCAAAUUGACCCUGUAACUUCGGGAUAAAGGGUCCCUACUGAGAGGUAGGGCGCAGAGAAUAGGUCCAGGCAACUGUUUAACAAAAACACAUGGCUGUGCGAAAUAGAAAUAUGAAGUAUACAGCCUGACACCUGCCCGGUGCUGGAAGGUUAAGAGGAGAGCUCAUCGCAAGAGAAGGCUUGAAUUGAAGCCCCAGUAAACGGCGGCCGUAACUAUAACGGUCCUAAGGUAGCGAAAUUCCUUGUCGGGUAAGUUC
RNAcentral lists this ribosomal RNA (1957 nucleotides) under human gut metagenome. RNAcentral describes it as "bacterial LSU rRNA". It matches the Rfam family "Bacterial large subunit ribosomal RNA", at positions 1 to 1983 of the family's 2925-position model. The record is from RNAcentral.